AAAUCUUGACAUCCUUCUGACCGCACCGUAAUGGGUGCUUUCCUUCGGGACAGGAGUGACAGGUGGUGCAUGGUUGUCGUCAGCUCGUGUCGUGAGAUGUUGGGUUAAGUCCCGCAACGAGCGCAACCCCUAUUGCCGGUAGCCAGCAGGUAAAGCUGGGCACUCCGGCGAGACUGCCCGGGAUAACCGGGAGGAAGGCGGGGAUGACGUCAAAUCAUCAUGCCCCUUAUGAUUUGGGCAACACACGUGCUACAAUGGCGUUAACAAAGAGAAGCGAGAACGCGAGUUUAAGCAAAGCUCAAAAAUAACGUCUCAGUUCGGACUGCAGUCUGCAACUCGACUGCACGAAGCCGGAAUUGCUAGUAAUCGCGAAUCAGCAUGUCGCGGUGAAUACGUUCCCGGGUC
Molecule: ribosomal RNA, 405 nt
Filed under: uncultured bacterium
Lineage: Bacteria
Description: bacterial SSU rRNA
Rfam family: Bacterial small subunit ribosomal RNA
Source: RNAcentral